AUGUUGCAAAAAUUUGGAGAUUGCGGAGACAAUUCUGAAACAACGACCGUGUUGCAGAAACAAUUCCUGAAACAAUGGCUGCGUUGCAAAAACAACUACCAUGUUGCAGAAAACUUUGAAGAUCCACCCUCGAACACCCGCACACGAAAGCGGCGGUGCCUCCAGCAUCUCUUCAGAAAAGCUCGGCUGUGGGUGUCUCCAACAUCUCCGAGCAGGUCCCUGAUUGUGUGCGUAAUGGAGAAGGAUGGGUCGCUGAGGAAGGAAGAAAGAAGCAAAAGAAAACAAAAGAUGUGGAUGGGAGCAGUCGGACGAGAAGAUAAGGCAGGAUGCAAAGCGGUGCACACCCACUGGGACAUGCGUCGCCCGUGGAAGACGGCGGACGAGUGA
This 387-nucleotide ribosomal RNA is filed under the name Triticum aestivum (bread wheat). RNAcentral describes it as "partial small subunit ribosomal RNA". The record is from RNAcentral. Lineage: Eukaryota; Viridiplantae; Streptophyta; Magnoliopsida; Poales; Poaceae.